GUCAGCCGGAUGCACACUGGAGUAACAGGGUCCAAUUCAUGGCCAAAAAGUUUUAACACGUUUUUAUGGUGUAUUAUGUAUGUACUAGCGAUAAAAUUGUGAAUUUAGAUAUUGAGGAAGCAUUUUGGAUUAUAAAUAGCCAUAUUAAUCCACUUAAAGGCUAGAAAUGAUUUCUUAUAACCUCUCCAAGGACAACGUUUAUUUUCACCCCCAAAAAUCGCUUGAAGCGUCGAACAUUUUUAUUUGACAACAGAGAA
Molecule: long non-coding RNA, 257 nt
Organism: Aedes albopictus (Asian tiger mosquito)
Lineage: Eukaryota; Metazoa; Arthropoda; Insecta; Diptera; Culicidae
Exons: 2
Source: RefSeq, a predicted model, not a curated record